RNAcentral lists this long non-coding RNA (912 nucleotides) under Brassica rapa (field mustard). Its description in RNAcentral is "long non-coding RNA (BRAP_LNC001122)". The record is from RNAcentral. Lineage: Eukaryota; Viridiplantae; Streptophyta; Magnoliopsida; Brassicales; Brassicaceae.
UUAGUUUUAAGUAAUAAAUGAAUUUAAUAAAUUAAAUUCAUCACCUAUAAUGUUCUGUAAACUAUAUUUGAAAACUCUCUAAAAUUAUAUUUUAAGCAUAAUAUUACUAUUAUUUAAUUUAAGUUAUUUUAAGCAUAAUAUAUGCUAAACCUACUUAAAUUAUAUUUACAAUAGGACCAUCCUAAACCGGUUAAUAAACCAAAAACAAUACUAAACCAACAUGAAUCAAUACUUGAUUCGGUGAGGAAUGAAAUGUUUCGGGAUAAACGCUUGACUGGUUAUUAACUGUAAUUGUUUGAUCAUGAAAGAGUUAGUAUGAAUAUUAACAAUAAAAUUAUAGAUUAGAUUAAUUUAAAUUUGUAAGAAUACCUUUGAGUAUAUGAAAAGCAAUUCAAUUCCCAUGAAUAAGUUUGGAUUUUGGAAGUUGUGGAUUUCCCAACAAUGAAUCCACCUAGCAAAAAGUUCGUUGUUAUAAAAGAUCUCCUUUAAGGUCAUUAAAGGUUUUUGGGACGGCAAGAGUUGAUGGUGGAACCAUUUUUUUGCUCGAGUGCUUUAAAGUUUUCCUUGAUAGUGUGAGGUUGAUGUUGAUGGAAUAAUGAGUUGUAUAGGAACUUUCUUGAUGUAAAACUAUAUACAUUUUUUUUGUUUAAUAUGGUAUUUCUAUUUUUAUAUAAUUUACUACCAUUUUAAGAUAGAUGUACAUUUUAAGAUAGAUGUUUAAAUUUUAAUGUACUUUGUUCCAUUUUUUAAAAUUGUGUACUUACUUAUAUUUUAUAUUUUACAUUUUAAGAUAGAUGUUUAAUGUUUAAUGAAUUUUUUCCAUUUUAUUAAAAAAAUUGUGUAUUUACUUAUUAUUAUAUAUAUAAUUCAUAUAUUAUAUAUUUACAUUAUUUAUAAUUAUUUAUUUUCCUG